GACGAACCGGGCGAACGUUGUUCGGAAUCACUGGGCUUAAAGGGCGCGUAGGCGGGCGUGCAAGUCUGUGGUGAAAGCCCCCAGCUCAACUGGGGAAGUGCCGUGGAUACUGCACAUCUUGAGGAGGGUAGGGGCAUCUGGAACGGUCGGUGGAGCGGUGAAACGCGUUGAUAUCGACCGGAACUCCGGUGGCGAAGGCGAGGUGCUGGACCGUUUCUGACGCUGAGGCGCGAAAGCCAGGGGAGCAAACGGG
Molecule: ribosomal RNA, 253 nt
Filed under: uncultured bacterium
Lineage: Bacteria
Description: partial 16S ribosomal RNA
Rfam family: Bacterial small subunit ribosomal RNA
Source: RNAcentral